This 269-nucleotide ribosomal RNA is filed under the name uncultured prokaryote. Its description in RNAcentral is "partial 16S ribosomal RNA". It matches the Rfam family "Bacterial small subunit ribosomal RNA", at positions 524 to 792 of the family's 1533-position model. The record is from RNAcentral.
UACGGAGGUGGCGAGCGUUACUCGGAUUCAUUGGGUGUAAAGGGCAGGUAGGUGUCCUAUAAAGUGGGGAGUGAAAUCCUUCGGCUCAACCGAAGAAUUGCUUUCCAAACUAAUGGGAUUGAGUGUGAGAGAGGAAAGCGGAACUCUCGGUGUAAGGGUGAAAUCUGUAGAUAUCGAGAGGAACACCAGUAGCGAAGGCGGCUUUCUGGAUCACAACUGACACUGAGCUGCGAAAGCUAGGGGAGCAAACAGGAUUAGAUACCCCCGUA